Molecule: non-coding RNA, 93 nt
Organism: Mycena rebaudengoi
Lineage: Eukaryota; Fungi; Basidiomycota; Agaricomycetes; Agaricales; Mycenaceae
Source: the annotation of a GenBank genome assembly
GGCUUGAUGGUGUAAUGGUAACAUAUCCUCCGCAAAUAACUUCAAAGUGAAAGCUUUAUGAGGAAGUUUCUUGUUCGACUCAAGGUCAGGCCA